RNAcentral lists this ribosomal RNA (741 nucleotides) under Bacillus sp. (in: firmicutes). Its description in RNAcentral is "bacterial SSU rRNA". It matches the Rfam family "Bacterial small subunit ribosomal RNA", at positions 139 to 865 of the family's 1533-position model. The record is from RNAcentral. Lineage: Bacteria; Bacillati; Bacillota; Bacilli; Caryophanales; Bacillaceae.
UGGGAUAACUCCGGGAAACCGGAGCUAAUACCGGAUAGUUCCUUGAACCGCAUGGUUCAAGGAUGAAAGACGGUUUCGGCUGUCACUUACAGAUGGACCCGCGGCGCAUUAGCUAGUUGGUGGGGUAAUGGCUCACCAAGGCGACGAUGCGUAGCCGACCUGAGAGGGUGAUCGGCCACACUGGGACUGAGACACGGCCCAGACUCCUACGGGAGGCAGCAGUAGGGAAUCUUCCGCAAUGGACGAAAGUCUGACGGAGCAACGCCGCGUGAGUGAUGAAGGUUUUCGGAUCGUAAAGCUCUGUUGUUAGGGAAGAACAAGUGCGAGAGUAACUGCUCGCACCUUGACGGUACCUAACCAGAAAGCCACGGCUAACUACGUGCCAGCAGCCGCGGUAAUACGUAGGUGGCAAGCGUUGUCCGGAAUUAUUGGGCGUAAAGGGCUCGCAGGCGGUUUCUUAAGUCUGAUGUGAAAGCCCCCGGCUCAACCGGGGAGGGUCAUUGGAAACUGGGAAACUUGAGUGCAGAAGAGGAGAGUGGAAUUCCACGUGUAGCGGUGAAAUGCGUAGAGAUGUGGAGGAACACCAGUGGCGAAGGCGACUCUCUGGUCUGUAACUGACGCUGAGGAGCGAAAGCGUGGGGAGCGAACAGGAUUAGAUACCCUGGUAGUCCACGCCGUAAACGAUGAGUGCUAAGUGUUAGGGGGUUUCCGCCCCUUAGUGCUGCAGCUAACGCAUUAAGC